This 265-nucleotide ribosomal RNA is filed under the name uncultured bacterium. RNAcentral describes it as "partial 16S ribosomal RNA". It matches the Rfam family "Bacterial small subunit ribosomal RNA", at positions 793 to 1055 of the family's 1533-position model. The record is from RNAcentral.
GUCCACGCCCUAAACGAUGCGAACUGGACGUUGGGAGCAAUCAGGCUCUCAGUGUCGAAGCUAACGCGUUAAGUUCGCCGCCUGGGGAGUACGGUCGCAAGACUGAAACUCAAAGGAAUUGACGGGGGCCCCGCACAAGCGGUGGAGUAUGUGGUUUAAUUCGAUGCAACGCGAAGAACCUUACCUGGCCUUGACAUCCACGGAAUCCUUUAGAGAUAGAGGAGUGCCUUCGGGAACCGUGAGACAGGUGCUACAUGGCUGUCGU